RNAcentral lists this ribosomal RNA (253 nucleotides) under uncultured bacterium. RNAcentral's name for it is "partial 16S ribosomal RNA". It matches the Rfam family "Bacterial small subunit ribosomal RNA", at positions 524 to 776 of the family's 1533-position model. The record is from RNAcentral.
UACGUAGGGUGCAAGCGUUAAUCGGAAUUACUGGGCGUAAAGCGUGCGCAGGCGGCUUUGCAAGACAGAUGUGAAAUCCCCGGGCUCAACCUGGGAACUGCAUUUGUGACUGCAUGGCUGGAGUGUGGCAGAGGGGGAUGGAAUUCCGCGUGUAGCAGUGAAAUGCGUAGAUAUGCGGAGGAACACCGAUGGCGAAGGCAAUCCCCUGGGCCUGCACUGACGCUCAUGCACGAAAGCGUGGGGAGCAAACAGG